UUUAAAGGAAGUACUUCAUGACUAUCGGCCAUCUCGGUACAGCCGCAAAGGCAGAAUCAGAACAGGAAAUGCCUGCCACACAAUGGGGUGUAUUUUGUUGUAUGUGUAUAUAUAUGCUGGACAGGACGUGGUCAGACAUAACGCAUUCUUACUGCAAACAAUUUCUUUUUUAGAGAAAAGAAAACCACCUCAAACAUGAAAUCUGUCUGCCUCGCUCUCCUUGUGGCCUGCGUCAUGGUGUCUACAGCCAUAGCAACAUACGGGUCUUAUGGCCGUGGAGGUUGGGGUGGAAACUACUAUGGUGGAUACGGACUAGGUGGUGGAUACUACGGGGGCGGACUUCUAGGUGGUGGAUACGGUGGAUAUGGUGGAUACGGCGGAUACGGCGGAUAUGGAGGAUAUGGAGGAUAUGGAGGAUAUGGUGGAUUCGGAGGAUUAUCCAGACGCGGAUAUUACUAAAUUGUUAUAUUGAUAUGUGUUGUGAAUGGACUCCUGAUCUGAACUUUAUUUAUUGUUUGAAAAGUGAGUGAAUAAAAUACAAAAAAAAUAUCAAACCAAUGAGUUCUUAUAUAUUAUUAAAGCUGAUGUCGAGAGUCUUGCUUGAACCGUGGCAA
Magallana angulata is the source of this 614-nucleotide long non-coding RNA. RefSeq lists it as uncharacterized. Lineage: Eukaryota; Metazoa; Mollusca; Bivalvia; Ostreida; Ostreidae. The transcript has 3 exons. The record is from RefSeq and is a predicted model, not a curated record.